RNAcentral lists this small nucleolar RNA (154 nucleotides) under Mus pahari (shrew mouse). RNAcentral's name for it is "snoRNA (MGP_PahariEiJ_G0034133.1)". Lineage: Eukaryota; Metazoa; Chordata; Mammalia; Rodentia; Muridae. The record is from RNAcentral.
CAAAAAACAGGUUAGGGCUUGGGAUCUGUGAGUGCUGGCUGCCUGCCAGGUCUUCCCCAAUGCAGGUGUGUGCUCUAUGAGGCAAGUUUCCCAGAAAGGCCACAAGGUCAUCUAGCCCAGGGGGUGGAAUGUGACUGCAGUCCUGGCUAUAGAG